This 2032-nucleotide ribosomal RNA is filed under the name human gut metagenome. RNAcentral's name for it is "bacterial LSU rRNA". It matches the Rfam family "Bacterial large subunit ribosomal RNA", at positions 1 to 1977 of the family's 2925-position model. The record is from RNAcentral.
GCAAGAUACCACGGGCGCACGGCGGAUGCCUUGGCACAGGGAGCCGAUGAAGGACGCGGCAAGCUGCGAUAAUCCCCGGCGAGGAGCACACAUCCUUCGACCCGGGGGUCUCCGAAUGGGCGAACCCAUCCACAGCAGUGUGGAUAUCCCCACCCCGAACACAUAAGGGUGGGGAGGACAACCCGGGGAACUGAAACAUCUAAGUACCCGGAGGAGAGGAAAUCAAUCUCGAGACUCCCCGAGUAGCGGCGAGCGAAAGGGGACCGAUGGCCAAACCGUCGAGCGGGCAUACCCGGCAGGGGUUCCGCCGACGGGGUUGCAGGGCCGCGCAUCCGGGGGCUGCCGCCCCCGGGCGCAGGUCCGGCUGGGGAGCGGAACGGCAUGGGAGGGCCGGCCGCAGCGGGUGACAGCCCCGUACGCGAACCCAGACCGGACGGCGCGACGCGGUCCCUGAGUAGGGCCGGGCACGUGAAACCCGGUCCGAACCUGGGUGGACCACCAUCCAAGCCUGAGUACUACCCUGUGACCGAUAGCGCACCAGUACCGUGAGGGAAAGGUGAAAAGCACCCCGGGAGGGGAGUGAAACAGUACCUGAAACCGUGCGCCCACGAGCAGUCGGAGCAACUUUAUGUUGUGACGGCGUGCCUUUUGUAGAAUGAGCCAGCGAGUCGCUGGCGCGGGGCGAGGUUAACCGAAAGGGAGCCGGAGCGAAAGCGAGCCUUAACAGGGCGACUUGAGUCCCGCGCCGCGGACGCGAAGCCGGGUGAGCUAUCCGUGGGCAGGCUGAAGCGGGGGUAAGACCCCGUGGAGGGCCGAACGCACGUCGGUUGAAAACGGCGGCGAUGACCUGCGGAUAGGGGUGAAAGGCCAAUCAAACCCGGAGAUAUCUCGUUCUCCCCGAAAUAGCUUUAGGGCUAGCGUCGCGCGUUCACCGCCGGAGGUAGAGCACCGGAUGGACGAGGGGGCUUCGCCGCCUACCGAAUCCAACCGAACUCCGAAUGCCGGCGGCCCAGAGCGCGGCAGUCAGAGCAUGUGGGCUAAGCUGUGUGCUCGAGAGGGAAACAGCCCGGACCGCCCGCUAAGGUCCCCAAGUUCCAGCCGAGUGGCAAAGGAUGUGCGUCCGCCCAGACAACCAGGAUGUUGGCUUAGAAGCAGCCAUGCAUUCAAAGAGUGCGUAACAGCUCACUGGUCGAGUGGACAUGCGCCGACAAUACACGGGGCUAAGCUGGACACCGAAGCGGCGGGAUUUUGAUUUUCAGAAUCGGUAGGGGAGCUUCCCAUGGGCGGGGAAGCCGCCGGGCGACCGGCGGUGGAGCGCAUGGGAGUGAGAAUGCUGGCAUGAGUAGCGAGAGACGAGAGAGUAACUCGUCCGCCGUGAACCCGAGGUUUCCUGGGCAAGGCUAAUCCUCCCAGGGUCAGUCGGGGGCUAAGGCGAGGCCGGGAGGCGUAGCCGACGCGCAGCAGGCAGACAUUCCUGCACCGCGCACGCGGCGCUACGACCGACGGGGCGACGGAUGGGGGUGGCUCGGCGGGGUUCUGGACGUCCCCGUGAUGGAGCGCGGCCCGCGGACCAGGGAAAUCCGGUCCGCACGAGGGCGAGGCUCCGGACGAAGCACUUAAGCGAAGCGAGUGAGCCCGAGGUCCCUAGAAAAACCCCUAGGCAGGCGCGUGCGCGCCCGUACCGCAAACCGACACAGGUGGGUGGGUAGAACAUACCGAGGCGAUCGGGUCAACCAUGGUCAAGGAACUCGGCACAAUGGCCCCGUAACUUAGGGAGAAGGGGUGCCCGCGCGUACGUGAACGGACUUGCUCCGGGAGCGGAGGCGGGCCGCAGUGGAGAGGCCCAAGCGACUGUUUACCAAAAACACAGGACUCUGCAGAAGCCGCAAGGCGACGUAUAGGGUCUGACGCCUGCCCGGUGCCGGAAGGUCACGCGGAGGAGUUAGCCGCAAGGCGAAGCCCCGAAGCCAAGCCCCGGUAAACGGCGGCCGUAACUAUAACGGUCCUAAGGUAGCGAAAUUCCUUGUCAGGU